AUUGAACGCUGGCGGCAUGCUUUACACAUGCAAGUCGAACGGCAGCGCGGGCUUCGGCCUGGCGGCGAGUGGCGAACGGGUGAGUAAUGCAUCGGAACGUGCCCAGUAGUGGGGGAUAGCCCGGCGAAAGCCGGAUUAAUACCGCAUACGACCUGAGGGUGAAAGCGGGGGACCGAAAGGCCUCGCGCUAUUGGAGCGGCCGAUGUCGGAUUAGCUAGUUGGUGGGGUAAAGGCUUACCAAGGCGACGAUCCGUAGCUGGUCUGAGAGGACGACCAGCCACACUGGGACUGAGACACGGCCCAGACUCCUACGGGAGGCAGCAGUGGGGAAUUUUGGACAAUGGGGGCAACCCUGAUCCAGCCACGCCGCGUGCGGGAAGAAGGCCUUCGGGUUGUAAACCGCUUUUGUUCGGGAAGAAAUCCUCUGGGCUAAUACACCGGGGGGAUGACGGUACCGGAAGAAUAAGCACCGGCUAACUACGUG
This 484-nucleotide ribosomal RNA is filed under the name uncultured bacterium. RNAcentral describes it as "partial 16S ribosomal RNA". It matches the Rfam family "Bacterial small subunit ribosomal RNA", at positions 29 to 507 of the family's 1533-position model. The record is from RNAcentral.